Non-coding RNA from Phalacrocorax carbo (great cormorant), 7462 nucleotides. The record is from RefSeq and is a predicted model, not a curated record. NCBI's taxonomy places the organism in Eukaryota, Metazoa, Chordata, Aves, Suliformes, Phalacrocoracidae.
CCCACUUUUCACUCUUUUUCAUUAGGACCCCGACAAGCUUGUCAGCAAAAUUAAAGGUUGACCUCAGACGGUCUCCAUCUCGCAGGGCUCUGUUAGAAAGCGGCAAGCAGCAAGUGGACCUGGGCUGCAUAAGCACCUGCUGGGCUCUCAACUUGUGCAGGUGGUAAAACACUGGCUGCCAUGAACUUCAUGUUAAAAAAAGAGAAAGAAGAAAAAGCUGUGGUUUGGAGGCUGCUAGAGCUGCUAGAUGGCAAACUGCAAGCUUGUGAUGUGGCUGCUGAAAUCUCUACAAGGAUAAUCGGGCAUACAUGCAUUUGUGGAUAUUUCCAUUUGCUAAUUGCUCAUGAAAUUUCAGGUUGAAAGUGAAGAAGGGAAUCUUCCACGCGGCUGCAUCUUGAAAAGGAGGUGCUGCAGUGAUUGCUUCCUGUCCAAACAUGCCACGCUGCUCAAAGGGACUGGCCAGGUAUUUACAAUCUAGGGAAUGGAGGGGCACCAAGAGGAAAAUGGGAGAUCUGUGGAACCGAAGCAGGUCAGCAGGAAGGAAGUGGACCUGAUUGUGUUGUGUGGGGCAAGUACCAGGAUCCUACGUAAGCAAAUGCUGUGGGGGCUCCCCAUCAUCUCAGUGGAGCCGGACUGCUGUUCCAGCUGGAGUUUAAGGCAGGAAGGGAGCGAGCGGUGAGCUGGGCUUGGGACUGUCUCAGCUCUGUUAUGAGGGAAGCUUGAGCUGGUGAUUCCAUGAGAAAAAGGCAACGGCUGAAAAGAACAUAAGCAAUAAACAGCAGGUCUAUUAGUAUUUGCAGUCUUUUUCUUGCCAUAGUUAUGUUACAUUCCCUUGUGAUUUUAUGAUAUCAGAUUGAAUUGUCAAGAUCUCACCAGCCUCUGCCCUUAAACAACUGGAUGAGGUGUAUUUUAGCCUGUAUUUCUAUGUGGUUAAAUACUAAACAAAUAUUUUAAAACUCUGCACAUCAGAGAAAGGAUGGCAUUUAGUCAAUUGUAUAGAGAACGCAUUUAAAGAAAUAUCUGCAUUUUUCUGGGCUUAUUUAAGGCCUUUGUGAAAUGAUUACCACUGACCUGAGAAGGACAAGUGAGUGCCAGUCUGAAUUGGCACAAAGGCAUGGGGCAUAAAGGAGGCGCAGCAUAAAAGUAUGGGCAGGGCCACGCGGAGACACCGACAUGUCUUCAAACCCAGGAUCGCCAUAUUCCUCCUAAAUUAUCUCACCUUUUCUGUGUCUUUUGCUUUUUAGGACUUAACUCCAGUUUUCCUGGCCCAUUAUGCAGUAGUCCUCUGUGUGUGAGAAGUGCAACUAUGAAACAAACAAAAAAGCCCCCAAACCAAAUGAGGACAGCCUGAUCUACCCCAGAACAACAGAUGGACAUUAAAAACCAAUCUCAGGAUACCUCAGUCUUGCAAAACUUCUUUCUCAGAUCUUCUGAUGAAGAAAUUCUUCUAGAUUUUUUUUUCCCCUUAGCUAGUCUGAAAUACACUUCUCUGGGUCAGGUCGUGAAUAGUAUUCUAAUGAGAUUGUCUAGUAAAGAAAGGAUGUCCAGCUGGGCCUGCUGUGUGUCAGUUAAAAUAAUAUUUGUAGCAAACCUUUUCACAAGCGUUUACUGGACCUCUUCAGUGGCUCGUUUUUUGGUAUGAUGCUGGAGGGCCAGGAGGUGGCUGGUGACAAGACUAAAACCUGAUGUAUGGCUGGAAGAUGGUUGUUCAUUCUUACGUCUGACAGCAAUGCCUCGCUGCCACCAAGGUGGCAUAUUCGGCUUUUAGAGACAUGCUGUUCCCUGGGAGCUGCAAGGAUCCACUGAAGGGUGUCCAACUUUCUCCUGUGUCCAGGAGGAAUUAGGUAAAUGGUCAGCCAGAUGUGAUGGACACCAUGAGACAACUCUCUUUCCACAAGUAGCGCACGCCUGACAGAAAUAGGUGGCAGAGCAACUGGCAUUCGACUCUCACCAUCUUUUGGCACUUGAAAAAAAAAAACAAAAAAAAGACCAAAGAAAGCAAGCCAAAGGUAGUUUAUGUGCAGCUCAGGAAGCUCUCAGAAAUGAAUGUGUCUGUGAUUUAAUAACACAUCGACACAAAAUGACGCUUCUCCUAAUAUUCACUGAGAGAAAGAAAGCAGAGCAGUAUGGGGCCAUAACCAGCACACAAUGCGUUACUAUUGCAACAACAAACAGCUGAACUACCAGGUAUUUAUUUUUCACCAUGCACACUUGUUGGAGGAGAAUGAAAAUUAUUCUUUGACACUCUGAUGGUGUCUUAGAAAGCCCUGUGCUUCCCCUAGCGCCCAUCGCCCUGACAAGAAGCAACUCACAAAUUCUAAUAAAUAGAAAAUAGAAAUAAAUACUUUAACUGUAUAGUAUAGGGUUCUGAAUGGCUUUCAGAAUCAGAAAGGGCUGCUCGUAUGUCUUCGUUAUGUCUACACUCUGUAACGUUGGCUCUCCAAAAGUCAGAGGCAAAGUGAGAUAGAUUCUACUAGGAUCACAGACACUACACUGGGAAACCAAGUAUCAAUGGUACAUCCAGAUUUAUGGUAGGUUAUGGCAGUAAAGUGAAAGCAAAACUGUUUGCACAGUCUGUAUUGUUGCCCAUUACUGUGUAUUUGCCCUUUUUUCUUGCUUAGCUACAGCUGAAAGAAUGGAAAAUUGUACCUUAUAUAUAGUAUUAGGAGACUCUUUUUGAUCGUAAGGUCAAUCAGACUAGUUUACCUGCUUGAGGUAUUUAUGGCACAAUCACUCAGUGUCUUUAAGGAAAGGUUAGAUACAUUUAUGGGAAAGGUGUUUUGCAGAAGCCUUCCUGUUUCAUAGAGGUCUUGGGCAAAAUGACCCAGGAGGCCCCUUCCAAGUCUAUCAAAUGUGGUUCCCUGAUUGAUGCCGUUCCACCCCCCCCCCCCAAGUCUUUUCAAAACACAAAGCACUGUUAUAAAAUGUAAUAUAAUACACUAUAUAACUUUAACACAAUGCCUUAUAGGAAAUGGUUAGCUGGUAGCACAGGAGCCUCACGCAAAAGGAAGAAAAGAAGAAAAAAAGAAAUUGCAGUGCCGCCUCUCUGCCAAGGGAUAUCGACUGUAACAUUUACACCGGUUCUCAGUAUGGCCCCUCAGCUGUGCAGAGGGGAGACCAAGUCAUGGAAGUGUAGUGCAUAUUAUAACCCAGGCUGCAGUAUAUAUUUUUCCAGAAAAACCCAACAAGGCCUGAGGUAAUUUUCUAUGCAGCGCAGUAAGGAGUCCCUCAGUGCUGGAAAGCAAACGGACACCCACCUCGCCUUACAAAUAACUGCCUGGUGUUGUAAUUGGCUGGGCUUAAUGUAGAGCUGCCUGGAGGCAAGACACAGGAGCGUCCAACCCCUCUCUGCAGGCCCACAGGGCCAUAAUGCAGGUGUGUCCCCCACCUACGGUCUCCAACCCUUCUGUGGUUACAAAUGGCAGGAAUGAAACCAAGACAGAAAGGAGAAGAGGCUCAGAAAAGCCCUUUCUGCAGUUAACCACCCUCUCUAAGAUGGCUUUGUCCUGGCCUGCUGCCAUCCAUGAAGCCAUCGUGCAGCAGGUGCAGCAAAGCCCUGAGAACUACAAGCCCUGAAAGCUGGACUUCUAAAACCCUUUGCCGAGUGCAGCAAAAUCACUGGGGAGCACCUUUGCCUGUUGACUAAAGACUGUUAGAGCUUUGGUCACAUUUUCCCUUAUUUUACUACAAGAUGCUGCUUAAGAGCAAAUUCCAUUUCUUUAAGGAGUGGCCGUCAUGUAUCACAGCACUGAGGCUUCCGUGGAGCUGGAGACCUAGCAAGCUGAAAGUGGUUAGUAAAGAUGUGUUUCCUGGCCCAUCAUUUGGGAACAAGUCGUGUGUGCCAUUUGUUUUUCAGACAGAAUGCUCUCCAGGUCUUUCACUUGGCCACGUUGGACACCUUCAAGAGUCGUCAGGACAGGGUGCUGGGCCAUCUUGUUUAGACUGUGCUCUUCCUAGAAAGGUUGGACUAGAUGAUCCCUGAGGUCCCUUCCAACCUGGGAUUCUGUGAUUCUGUGAUUUACGUUUUUGGGUCACCAAACCAUUUAGUAAAUGUAUAUAAUCUUUCUGCUUUUUUAAUUUGAGAAGAAAUGUUUUUGCUGAAUGUUUCCUCAAUCGACUAUUUUUUUUUCUUUCAAACUGUUUAAAAGCAUAUUUAAACGUUUAAGUGAAUUUAAUGAAAUUUUUAAAAAGCAAACAACCAGAUUCUCUGGGCCAUUUGGUUGAAAUGCUGUGGCUGGCCUCCAUUGCUCUGUAGUAAGUUUUAAUUUUAGGUUCUCACAGGAAAAAAACAAAACAAACAAACAAGAAAAAAAACCAAACCCCCAAACCCAGAACUUUAUUGAGUUGGGGUUCGCUCUCAAAAUACAUCUUACACUUACCUUUUUAGUUUCACUCCAGCCAACUCCUUUUCCAGAAAACAGCCUCCCACCCCCAUCUUCUUGGAGCAGCUCUGGCAGGAAAUAACAACAUCCAUACACACUCCAAAGUCUUUUGAAGUUUCAUGAAUGUGAGCUGUUGCUUUUGCAGGGCAGGCCAGGAUUAACUUUUAUUAACCUUCUAACCUCAUCCAUGAGACAGAAAAAUUGCCUAGCCUCCCUCCCCCCCCCCCCCCCCCCCCUUUUUUUUUUGUAUUAUUUGGAAGCUUGCAGCCUUCUUUACCUAACAUUUGGGAGUUCAGACACCCUACAGAUGGCAGCAAAAUGAGGACCAUUAAUGGUGCUUUCCCUGAGGAGCUCCCUGAAGCCCCUUUGUUGUAAUCGGUGUCAAUGGCUAGCCCUAAACCUUGUGUUUUCACUUGAAAAUAUUUUCCUGUUGCCGUGAGGCUUGGGUCUCUCUAUCUGAAUAAUAUUUGUGGGAGCAAAUAAUAACCUGUUGGCCCUUUCCAACAUGUUGCAGCAAUGUAUUUUCCUGAUUCCUAUAACAAAAAAAGUGACUUUUAGCAAAAUGAAAAAUUUGACCUGGCUUUAAUCCUGCCAGUGCUACAAUUGCUCAUCCUUAGCACUUACUUCAUCCCUGCAUCACAGCACAGAGUGAGACACUCACGUCGGAAUAGCUCUUCUCACUGGAGUCAAAAUGGUAAAAAUUAGCCUCAGUGAGUGACACAAGCAGAACUUUCAAAGGCAGGAAAAUUUAUCUCCUGCUCUUUGUCUUACAGUACGGAGCAUUUUAGUGGUUGGAAGAUUUAGCUUGCAAGAUCCUGUAUAGAUAAAUCCUAGUGGACAACAGCUCUCCAGCUUCUUUUUUAGGGCAGUUGAGCUCAGCAGCUGGAAUCUGGCAGGGUAUGAGGGGCGCAAUAAGGAUGGAGAAAAACUUUCCUGUAGCCUUCAGGUGUUGGUUAAGGGUCAGGCUCAGGAAACAGCCAAAGCAAACCAAAACUCUCUCAGCUACAUCUCCUCACUGCAUUAUGUGAGGUCAUGGCUGAUUGGUAUAAGGAGUGUGAUUUUGGGCCAGCCCUGCCUCUGCUCUACUGUAGUAUAGGCCAUUAACUUCCUUGAUGAUACAGUCCCUCUUGAGGAUUCUCCUUUUGAAAGAUUUAUACUUGGUUUAAAGCUAAUACAAAUGCUCCACUUUAGCUUUUAGGAGGCCAAGACACUUAAAAAUCUCAGAUGAGCAGGAGAAGCAAGAAGGAAGGCAAAAUCUCUCUCCUCAGGUCCCUUGUAAGGAUGUUCAAAUACCACUUUGAUGAGAACUUUGCAGCUGCUUUGCUGGGUAAACAGAUACAUCACAGCUCUGAUGGGCAGGGAUGCCCUUCACACCAACAAGCAGAGGAAAAGAAGGUGGUGGGGAGAGUAAAAGGCACCUGAAAAAAAAGGCAGGCAAUGAUGGGUACAACUGAACUUUUUGCCUUCCUGAUCUUUGGAAAUGGGAAAACCCAUUCAGGAUCACAGAUUUCCGGAUGGGAAAAUGCAUCUUUAAUUGUGCCACAAAACAGAGAUGGUUUGCUACUGUUGCCUCCUCCAAAAAAAGCUGUUACUAUGAGUUCUUUGGGCCUCUGGCACUCCAUUUCCCAGUUUUCAGUUAAUAAUUCAAAGGUUAUACAUAAACAAUAGUAAUAAAAAUCAUAACAAUACCUGGCUUGCCAUUAUGUUGUGCUCAGUCAUUGUGAUGCUUCUCUCAUGAUAAAAUCUGUGUAUUAAACACUUUAAUUGAAACUCUCAAUAAAACAGAUAUUUUCACUUGUGCAGUUAUAUUCACAUAAUGAUCGCAAAGCACUUUACAGAGUCAAAUAAAAGUAGCCAGCCUGAUCCUUGUAUAGAAGCAAAUGCCAUUAUUGUGCAUCUUCGUAGUAUAUAACAAAGAUGCAUAUGGGCAAUUCGCUGUCAAGCAUCCCUAAUUUUCAGGUUUGUGCUGAACAAACAGCAUCUAAAAAGCUUGGUUUUAUCCUUAAGCUUGUUCUAAAAAUCUCUAAUGCCAUCAGAAGUGACACAGCAAGAGGGGACUGGGCAGUCUCACCUACCAGACAAGAAGAGGAGGCCGCAGACAGGAGGGCUGGUGAACAGUCGUGCCUCAUUAUCAAGAGCCCUGGUUCAGAAAGUAAAAAAGAAAAAUGUUAUCGUUUUCCUCAUUUAUAAAAAAAAGCCAUGGAAGUCUUGAUGUGCUGAGUACCGAGCAGCCUCCAUCGGGUCACUUAGAGCGGACGAGGCAAAACCUGGUGACGCAAAUGCUAGCGUUAAGUGAUGCCGCCGAGGUCUAGAGGGGUCUCAAGCUUUGGGCCUCCUAAGAGGUAGUUCUGGAGCUCAGAGGCAAGCAAAGAGCUUUGUUCCCUCUUGUAUAAUUGAUAAAUUACCAUUGUUAGUACUAAACAAUACUACGGAGCCCAGAAUGGAAACAUGCUAGCGCUUUAUCCAUCUUAAGCAAUUCUGCUCAUGUGCUCAUACUGUUCUUAAAUAUGCUAGAUAUUUGGUUGAUGAAACAAUAAGUUUUAGAAAAGAGAAAAAUAAGAACUUUAAAGAUAAUCAAAACCUUGACUACCUACUUUACCACAGGCAGCUGUGAGUAAGCUUCAGUACUCUUUAUUUUUAACAUUGCAGAUAUGUAAUUUAAUGCAGGUCUAAUGACAGUCUCGAACAUACUGCUUUAAUCGCAAUUGUUCAAGCUCUGUUCUGUGACAAGGGCUCACAAGAUAUCAGCAGGGUUGUCCAUUUUCCCCACUUCUCUAAGGAAAAUAAAAAGGAAGGGAGGGGGACACUCUUGAACUUAUGUUGCUAUUGAUGUGUAAUAUACAAUAAAAAAACAGUUAAAUUUCAAUUACCCACAGGUAAUUAUAAUUUUAUUGUUUGACUGUACUAUGGGGAUUUUUGUAAUUCCCAAGACUAAUAAUUUUCUAUAAUUUUACAGGUUGUCAAAUAAACUAUUAAAGAUUAUCUUUGAAAAGGAUUCUGCAAUUGUAAGGACAUAUCAUACUGUUCCUGUACAUUAUUAGUAAUUAGAGAUCCCUGGAUAGUGAAAUAUCUGCACUAUA